RNAcentral lists this ribosomal RNA (373 nucleotides) under uncultured organism. Its description in RNAcentral is "bacterial SSU rRNA". It matches the Rfam family "Bacterial small subunit ribosomal RNA", at positions 526 to 896 of the family's 1533-position model. The record is from RNAcentral.
CGGAGGGUGCGAGCGUUGUCCGGAAUCACUGGGCGUAAAGGGCGCGUAGGUGGCGCGGGCAGUCAACGGUGAAAGUUCGGGGGCUCAACCCUGAAUCGGCCGUCGAUACUCCCGUGCUUGAGCACUGUAGAGGCUAAUGGAAUUCCGGGUGUAGCGGUGGAAUGCGUAGAGAUCCGGAAGAACACCGGUGGCGAAGGCGGUUAGCUGGGCAGUUGCUGACACUGAGGCGCGACAGCGUGGGGAGCAAACAGGAUUAGAUACCCUGGUAGUCCACGCCGUAAACGAUGGGUACUAGGUGCUUGGGGGAGCGACCCCCUGAGUGCCGGCGCUAACGCAUUAAGUACCCCGCCUGGGGAGUACGGCCGCAAGGCUG